UUGAGGGCAGGAAAGUACACUGUAACUACUUGGAAUUUGUUAAAAUAAGUAUUUAUUUAAUUUUAAUUCUCAAGAAUGAUGUAAUAUUCAUUGAAAAGUUUUUUGGGUUUUUUUUGUGUAAUAAAACUUCUGCUGGGACUCGAACACCAUCCUUCGCAAUGGAAGCCAGCCGCUCAAACCAUCGUUAUUGUCAUGGUUCAGCCCUGCUCCUUCACCCCACCCUUUCUUCCUCCACUCUAAUUUCAUUCACCUGUGUUAAUUAAGUUCACAUUGUGCACCAGUUGGUGUUCACACUAUUUAAGGUCCUCACUUUCACCUGCCAGUUCGUUGAAUCAGUCACGUUCCAGCUAGUUAUAAUCUUUGUAUUUUGAGUCUUUUCAUGGUUUUGACCCUAUUCUGGCCUGGUAACGAGUUUAAGCCUGUCCCCUUUCUGGAGUUUUUUCUGCCCUGGUUUUUCCUCCUCUGUUUCCAUCCUGAGAGGUGUGACGUUUUCAGAUCCCUCGUCUCAUCACGGAGUAAAGCUGCCUCCAACGUUGGUCUUCACCCUCCGGUGGAUUUCCAUCCUCUACACAGAAGCAGUGGGGGAAUCUUCCAUCAUUCCUCUGACACCAUCCGUCCUGCACUCGGAUGCUUUAAAGGCUCACCUGUGCAUCUGGCGGCACAUCGAUUAAUUCUACCUCCCUAAUAAACACUUUAAUUGUGA
This is a long non-coding RNA of Oryzias melastigma (Indian medaka), 703 nucleotides long. RefSeq lists it as uncharacterized. The transcript has 2 exons. The record is from RefSeq and is a predicted model, not a curated record. NCBI's taxonomy places the organism in Eukaryota, Metazoa, Chordata, Actinopteri, Beloniformes, Adrianichthyidae.